Molecule: non-coding RNA, 332 nt
Organism: Camelina sativa (false flax)
Lineage: Eukaryota; Viridiplantae; Streptophyta; Magnoliopsida; Brassicales; Brassicaceae
Source: RefSeq, a predicted model, not a curated record
ACAAAAGCUCGGAGAGACAAUAGAGUGGAGACAUAUUAGGUCAAGCCGCUGUCCCAGAAAUAAAAAAAUUAUGCCAUUGUUGUUGUCUGCUUGUGAUUUUGCGAAAGAGAAUAAAGAGGGAUCAAAACUUGCGGCUUGCUUCUUCUACUACAGAUCCUUCUUUGGAGCUUUUUGAAAGAUAUAAGAAGAAAUUACAAAAUCCACAGGCAAUUGCGGCAAUGGGGAUGAUUUAUAAUAGCACAAAAAAAAGAUAAAGAUUUAUAUUUUACCUUUGGAUUCUUUUUAAUUUUCCAACGAAUGCCCCCACGUUAAUAACAAAUAACAUCAUUUUU